Molecule: long non-coding RNA, 780 nt
Filed under: Homo sapiens (human)
Lineage: Eukaryota; Metazoa; Chordata; Mammalia; Primates; Hominidae
Description: long intergenic non-protein coding RNA 3007
Source: RNAcentral
UGCCCUGGAUAGAGAGCGGUGUCUCAUAACAGUUUGGAAACUACAAAAGUUUCCCUGGCAGGAUGAAUGAUUGACUCGGCAACAUGUUCUUGCCUUUUGGAGUUGCCCUCCAAUUUUUCCAGGCUUGAUUCUGUAAAUCAUUUCAUCUUGUAAAAAUACUGGGCUGUGAGCACGGAUGAUCUCAAAGAUGAGGAAACAGAAGCUGGGAUAUGUGAGUAAACAUUUCCAAGGUCCUGCAGCUAAUCAAUGGUUGACAACUUCUUUCCUCUGCCUAUGUUGCCAUCCAUGUCAUGGUUUGUGUCAAGACUCUAGGAGAAGUCUACCAUCAGCACCACAGCUACUGUGCACAAAUCCAGAAUGCCAGACUGAAGUCAGAAGGAAAGGGAAAUGUUCUUAUCACCCAUUCCUGUCAGAGAUGAUGCAGCUCAUUGCUGAUGCUGAGAUCCAACGUCCAGUGCCUGAGUACCCCUGGAUUCUGAGCACUAGGGGCUGGACUGUGGAGACCAUCAGUUCAUAACAUCCUGUCCCUGCUCCCUGCUGUAGAUGACUGAGACCAGGGUUCUUAAACAAGGGAGAAGCACUCUCAUACCCCUAGAACAAGAUGAACAAAAGAAGGAGGAAAAAUCUUGACCUCCGUAAGAUCCAGGAUGGCACGUGCAAGGCACUGACACAGCAUCUGCCGGCAUCACUGACUCUCCUGGACCCCAGAAGCCCAGUUCCCCAGGCUCUGAAACCCUGCAGCAAUGAAAAGGAAGCACAGGCAAACCAUAAGGAAGAUAA